GACGAACGCUGGCGGCGUGCUUAACACAUGCAAGUCGAACGGAAAGGCCCUGCUUUUGUGGGGUGCUCGAGUGGCGAACGGGUAAGUAACACGUGAGUAACCUGCCCCUGACUUUGGGAUAACUUCAGGCAACUGGGGCUAAUACCGGAUAGGAGCUCCUGCUGCAUGGUGGGGGUUGGAAAGUUUCGGCGGUUGGGGAUGGACUCGCGGCUUAUCAGGUUGUUGGGUGGGUAGUGGAUUAGCAAGGCUUUGACGGGUGGCCGGCCUGGGAGGGGGACCGGCCACAUUGGGACUGGGAUGCGACCCGGCCUCGUACGGUAGGCAGCGGUGGGGAAUAUUGCACUAUGGGCGGAAGCCUGGUGCAGCGACGCCGCGUGCGGGAUGACGGCCAUCGGGUUGGAAACCGCUUUCGCCUUAGACGAAGCGUGAGUGACGGUAAUGGGUAAAGAAGCACCGGCUAACUACGUG
RNAcentral lists this ribosomal RNA (468 nucleotides) under uncultured bacterium. Its description in RNAcentral is "partial 16S ribosomal RNA". It matches the Rfam family "Bacterial small subunit ribosomal RNA", at positions 28 to 507 of the family's 1533-position model. The record is from RNAcentral.